GACGAACGCUGGCGGCGUGCUUAGCACAUGCCAGUCGAACGGAAAGGCCCUGCUUGCAGGGUACUCGAGUGGCGAACGGGUGAGUAACACGUGGGUGAUCUGCCCUGCACUUCGGGAUAAGCCUGGGAAACUGGGUCUAAUACCGGAUAGGAGCCAUUUUUAGUGUGAUGGUUGGAAAGUUUUUUCGGUGUAGGAUGAGCUCGCGGCCUAUCAGCUUGUUGGUGGGGUAAUGGCCUACCAAGGCGGCGACGGGUAGCCGGCCUGAGAGGGUGGACGGCCACAUUGGGACUGAGAUACGGCCCAGACUCCUACGGGAGGCAGCAGUGGGGAAUAUUGCACAAUGGGCGCAAGCCUGAUGCAGCGACGCCGCGUGGGGGAUGACGGCCUUCGGGUUGUAAACUCCUUUCGCUAGGGACGAAGCUUUUGUGACGGUACCUAGAUAAGAAGCACCGGCUAACUACGUG
Molecule: ribosomal RNA, 464 nt
Filed under: uncultured bacterium
Lineage: Bacteria
Description: partial 16S ribosomal RNA
Rfam family: Bacterial small subunit ribosomal RNA
Source: RNAcentral